CGGGACGGGUGAGUAAUGUCUGGGAAACUGCCCGAUGGAGGGGGAUAACUACUGGAAACGGUAGCUAUACCGCAUAACGUCGCAAGACCAAGAGGGGGACCUUAGGGCCUCUUGCCAUCGGAUGUGCCCAGAUGGGAUUAGCUAGUAGGUGGGGUAAUGGCUCACCUAGGCGACGAUCCCUAGCUGGUCUGAGAGGAUGACCAGCCACACUGGAACUGAGACACGGUCCAG
Molecule: ribosomal RNA, 231 nt
Filed under: uncultured bacterium
Lineage: Bacteria
Description: partial 16S ribosomal RNA
Rfam family: Bacterial small subunit ribosomal RNA
Source: RNAcentral